Molecule: ribosomal RNA, 1124 nt
Filed under: Micrococcus luteus
Lineage: Bacteria; Bacillati; Actinomycetota; Actinomycetes; Micrococcales; Micrococcaceae
Also listed under: 1 other name
Description: bacterial SSU rRNA
Rfam family: Bacterial small subunit ribosomal RNA
Source: RNAcentral
GCAGCCAGUGGGGGAAUUUUGCCCCAAUGGGCCCCAACCCUGAUGCCACGUCCGCCGCGUGAGGGGAGGCCGGCCUUCGGGGUGGUAAACCUUCUUUCAGUUAGGGAAGGAAGGGAAAGUGGCCGGUCCCUGCAGAAGAAGCCUCGGGCUACUUACGUGCCAGCAGCCGCCGUUAAUACGUAGGGUGCGAGCGUUAUCCGGAAUUAUUGGGCGUAAAGAGCUCGUAGGCGGUUUGUCGCGUCUGUCGUGAAAGUCCGGGGCUUAACCCCGGAUCUGCGGUGGGUACGGGCAGACUAGAGUGCAGUAGGGGAGACUGGAAUUCCUGGUGUAGCGGUGGAAUGCGCAGAUAUCAGGAGGAACACCGAUGGCGAAGGCAGGUCUCUGGGCUGUAACUGACGCUGAGGAGCGAAAGCAUGGGGAGCGAACAGGAUUAGAUACCCUGGUAGUCCAUGCCGUAAACGUUGGGCACUAGGUGUGGGGACCAUUCCACGGUUUCCGCGCCGCAGCUAACGCAUUAAGUGCCCCGCCUGGGGAGUACGGCCGCAAGGCUAAAACUCAAAGGAAUUGACGGGGGCCCGCACAAGCGGCGGAGCAUGCGGAUUAAUUCGAUGCAACGCGAAGAACCUUACCAAGGCUUGACAUGUUCUCGAUCGCCGUAGAGAUACGGUUUCCCCUUUGGGGCGGGUUCACAGGUGGUGCAUGGUUGUCGUCAGCUCGUGUCGUGAGAUGUUGGGUUAAGUCCCGCAACGAGCGCAACCCUCGUUCCAUGUUGCCAGCACGUCGUGGUGGGGACUCAUGGGAGACUGCCGGGGUCAACUCGGAGGAAGGUGAGGACGACGUCAAAUCAUCAUGCCCCUUAUGUCUUGGGCUUCACGCAUGCUACAAUGGCCGGUACAAUGGGUUGCGAUACUGUGAGGUGGAGCUAAUCCCAAAAAGCCGGUCUCAGUUCGGAUUGGGGUCUGCAACUCGACCCCAUGAAGUCGGAGUCGCUAGUAAUCGCAGAUCAGCAACGCUGCGGUGAAUACGUUCCCGGGCCUUGUACACACCGCCCGUCAAGUCACGAAAGUUGGUAACACCCGAAGCCGGUGCCUAACCCUUGUGGGGGGAGCCGUCGAAGUUGAACC